This 449-nucleotide ribosomal RNA is filed under the name uncultured bacterium. RNAcentral's name for it is "partial 16S ribosomal RNA". It matches the Rfam family "Bacterial small subunit ribosomal RNA", at positions 29 to 523 of the family's 1533-position model. The record is from RNAcentral.
AACGAACGCUGGCGGCAUGCCUAACACAUGCAAGUCGAACGAGAUCUUCGGGUCUAGUGGCGCACGGGUGCGUAACGCGUGGGAAUCUGCCCUUUGGUUCGGAAUAACAGUUGGAAACGACUGCUAAUACCGGAUGAUGACGGAAGUCCAAAGAUUUAUCGCCAGAGGAUGAGCCCGCGUGGGAUUAGCUAGUUGGUGUGGGAAAGGCGCACCAAGGCGACGAUCCUUAGCUGGUCUGAGAGGAUGAUCAGCCACACUGGGACUGAGACACGGCCCAGACUCCUACGGGAGGCAGCAGUGGGGAAUAUUGGACAAUGGGCGAAAGCCUGAUCCAGCAAUGCCGCGUGAGUGAUGAAGGCCUUAGGGUUGUAAAGCUCUUUUACCCGGGAUGAUAAUGACAGUACCGGGAGAAUAAGCUCCGGCUAACUCCGUGCCAGCAGCCGCGGUAA